CUAAUCGGAAAAGACUACCCGCUGAGUUUAAGCAUAUCA
This 39-nucleotide ribosomal RNA is filed under the name Brachythecium rivulare. RNAcentral describes it as "partial 25S ribosomal RNA". Lineage: Eukaryota; Viridiplantae; Streptophyta; Bryopsida; Hypnales; Brachytheciaceae. The record is from RNAcentral. RNAcentral also lists the same sequence under 10 other names.